This 346-nucleotide unclassified non-coding RNA is filed under the name soil metagenome. Its description in RNAcentral is "partial contains 5.8S ribosomal RNA, internal transcribed spacer 2, and large subunit ribosomal RNA". The stretch from base 1 to 120 matches the Rfam family "5.8S ribosomal RNA", at positions 35 to 154 of the family's 154-position model. The record is from RNAcentral.
GAUGAAGAACGCAGCGAAAUGCGAUAAGUAAUGUGAAUUGCAGAAUUCAGUGAAUCAUCGAGUCUUUGAACGCACAUUGCGCCCCCUGGUAUUCCGGGGGGCAUGCCUGUCCGAGCGUCAUUGCUGCCCUCAAGCACGGCUUGUGUGUUGGGUCCCGUCCUCCGAUCCCGGGGGACGGGCCCGAAAGGCAGCGGCGGCACCGCGUCCGGUCCUCGAGCGUAUGGGGCUUUGUCACCCGCUCUGUAGGCCCGGCCGGCGCUUGCCGAUCAACCCAAAUUUUUAUCCAGGUUGACCUCGGAUCAGGUAGGGAUACCCGCUGAACUUAAGCAUAUCAAUAAGCGGAGGA